Molecule: unclassified non-coding RNA, 218 nt
Filed under: Glomus sp.
Lineage: Eukaryota; Fungi; Glomeromycota; Glomeromycetes; Glomerales; Glomeraceae
Description: partial contains 5.8S ribosomal RNA and internal transcribed spacer 2
Rfam family: 5.8S ribosomal RNA (bases 1-72)
Source: RNAcentral
GUGAAUCAUCGAAUCUUUGAACGCAAAUUGCACUCUCCGGUUUUCCGGGAGAGUAUGCCUGUUUGGGGGCCAGCCUAAAAAAAAUCGACAUUGGUGCUGUGUUAUGGUGACUUUUGCCGGAGAUGGGAUAUCUUAAAUCUCGGUUUAAGGGACUUAAAAAUUUUUUUUACGAUUCUAAGAAUGGUUCUAAGAUUUUUCUUGUACGUUUAAGGUAACGA